Molecule: ribosomal RNA, 336 nt
Filed under: uncultured Prevotella sp.
Lineage: Bacteria; Pseudomonadati; Bacteroidota; Bacteroidia; Bacteroidales; Prevotellaceae
Description: bacterial SSU rRNA
Rfam family: Bacterial small subunit ribosomal RNA
Source: RNAcentral
AUCUGAUUUGAAUUAAAGAUUUAUCGGUAUAGGAUGGGGGAUGCGUCUGAUUAGCUUGUUGGUGAGGUAACGGCUCACCCAAGGCACGAUCAGUAGGGGUUCUGAGAGGAAGGUCCCCCACAUUGGAACUGAGACACGGUCCAAACUCCUACGGGAGGCAGCAGUGAGGAAUAUUGGUCAAUGGACGAGAGUCUGAACCAGCCAAGUAGCGUGCAGGAUGACGGCCCUAUGGGUUGUAAACUGCUUUUGUUUGGGAAUAAUCGACAUUACGUGUAAUGUUUUGCAUGUACCAUUCGAAUAAGGACCGGCUAAUUCCGUGCCAGCAGCCGCGGUAAU